This is a long non-coding RNA of Populus nigra (black poplar), 1566 nucleotides long. RefSeq lists it as uncharacterized. NCBI's taxonomy places the organism in Eukaryota, Viridiplantae, Streptophyta, Magnoliopsida, Malpighiales, Salicaceae. The transcript has 4 exons. The record is from RefSeq and is a predicted model, not a curated record.
UAUUUAUCUGCAGAUUUCGUCUCUCUGACCAAGAUACAUUCCCUACAAGUUUCCACGAUCUAGUAAUGAUCAUCAUUUUACCAUUUAUGUGGAAUCCCUUAUCCAUCUCCCCUUAUUGUGUGUAUACACCAUGGAGUUAAGUCCUCUCAUUCACCACACAUUCUUCGCUACACUUCAGUCACUUCUCCUCCAAAUUUCAAAAGCAAAUCUUUCUCAGCUGUGACUGCGAGUGGCUAAAGGCUUUAUGCAACAAGUUGCAAGAUGAUAUGAAAAGAAUUGAAGAGAAAAACCAUUUGAAGGAGCUCCUGGUAAAGAGAAGAUGAAAACAGAAAUCUGACAUCGGCACUAUUUAUUAGCACCAAUUUUCUUUUCUGUAACAGUGUUAUGCUUACAACAUUGUUUUUGUAAUUUUUAAAAUAGUGGAAGUCUUCUGGAAGCUGGGCAGAAAAGGAGCAAGCCGUCCAAGAAGAUAUCAUAAUUGCAUCCGAAGAGGUCGUGAACGUCGAUGAUGGGUACAUGGAUGAUACAUCACUUGUUAGACAAUCCCUGUGAAUGCAAAUUUUUUCUUCCACCUUUUUGGGAGCCAAUUUUUAUGCUCGAGUUUGUCAAGAUGAUCCAGUGCAAAUUCUGCUAACUGCACAUUCGAAUGCAUUGUAGAUGCCCCCAAUAAGGCUCCCCACACUCCAGCAUCAGGUUCCAUUGGCAUUGACUUUAUCAAGUCCAAAACUUCAUUGAAUAAUCCAGCACGACCUAGUAGAUCUGCCAUGCAAGCAUAGUGUUCCAAAUCUGGUUCAAGCUGGUGCUGUUUGCUCAUGGAAUCAAAUAUUUUCCUCCCUUCUCCAAUUAAACCUGCAUGCCUGCAAGCUGACAACACGUUGAUGAAGGAAAAAGAAUCAAGCCUGAUUUCACUGUCCUGCAUGCGUGAGAAAAGUUCAAUAGCACAGCUCCCGCACCCAUGAACUGCAUAUCCUGCAAGCAUAACAUUCCAUGAGACAGUGUCUUUAUUCUUCAUCUCAUGGAAUAUCUUUUCAGAGUGAUCAAGCCAUCCACAUUUAGCAUACAUAUCGAUAAGACAAUUCCCAACAGGUGUUUUAGACUGAAAUCCCAUUCGGAUAACAUAUGCAUGGAGAGUCAUGCCAGCCCUUAAGGCUGACAGAUGCGCUACUGCAGGAAGGACAGUCACAAUUGUGACUAUAUUAGGUUGGAUAUUCUCUAAUUUCAUCUGGCAAAAAGCAGAAAAGGCAUCUUUGGCAUGUCCACUGUGCAUGUAUCCAGCAAUCAUCACAUUCCAAGACACCUCAUCCUUUCUACACCCUGUUCUAUGAAACAAGAACUCGGCCCCAGACAAGCUUCCACAUUUAGCAUACAUGUCAAUGAGAGCAGUCUUUACAUAACAUUCAGAUUCAAAACCACACUUUAUAAUUUUCCCAUGGAUACAGGAUCCUUGGUCCAGGUCAUUUAGAAGAGCAAAUGCUGGAAGCAAACCCACCAUAGUUCCGGAGUUUGGAUUUAAUUCAGACAGCUGUAAUUUAUGGAACAUCUCUAAUGCAGGAAAUGGUUCACCAA